Molecule: non-coding RNA, 411 nt
Organism: Phascolarctos cinereus (koala)
Lineage: Eukaryota; Metazoa; Chordata; Mammalia; Diprotodontia; Phascolarctidae
Source: RefSeq, a predicted model, not a curated record
CAGGAGACCACAAAGCUCAAAAUACAAGCAAGAGUUUUUUUUUGGGGGGGAACAUAAAGAUCUGAAAAGCUGCAAUUUGCCAUCUUCGGGAGCUGUGUGGAGCAUUGCGAGCGACAUGCCCAGGGCCCCACAGCCACCAUGUGCCUGAGGGGGCGCUUGAGCCCAGGUCUCCCAGACUCUGGCCAGCGCAUUAGCCACUGUCCCUCCCGGACUCUCCUGUGCCUCACAGAGUACUUGACACACAUCACUUUGUUGGAUUCUUACAACAACCUUGGGAGACAAAGAAACUGAAUCUCAGAGAAGAGAAGAGGCCUGGCCUGGGUCAGGAUGCUGCAGCAUCAGGGCUGGGAUGCAGCCCAGGACGCAGAGCUCCUCCUUCCUCUCCAACCCGCACGGUCCCUGCCAGGCCUC